Molecule: ribosomal RNA, 1343 nt
Filed under: uncultured bacterium
Lineage: Bacteria
Description: 16S ribosomal RNA
Rfam family: Bacterial small subunit ribosomal RNA
Source: RNAcentral
GACGAACGCUGGCGGCGUGCUUAACACAUGCAAGUCGAACGGAAAGGCCCUGCUUUUGUGGGGUGCUCGAGUGGCGAACGGGUGAGUAACACGUGAGUAACCUGCCCUUGACUUUGGGAUAACUUCAGGAAACUGGGGCUAAUACCGGAUAGGAGCUCCUGCUGCAUGGUGGGGGUUGGAAAGUUUCGGCGGUUGGGGAUGGACUCGCGGCUUAUCAGCUUGUUGGUGGGGUAGUGGCUUACCAAGGCUUUGACGGGUAGCCGGCCUGAGAGGGUGACCGGCCACAUUGGGACUGAGAUACGGCCCAGACUCCUACGGGAGGCAGCAGUGGGGAAUAUUGCACAAUGGGCGGAAGCCUGAUGCAGCAACGCCGCGUGCGGGAUGACGGCCUUCGGGUUGUAAACCGCUUUCGCCUGUGACGAAGCGUGAGUGACGGUAAUGGGUAAAGAAGCACCGGCUAACUACGUGCCAGCAGCCGCGGUGAUACGUAGGGUGCGAGCGUUGUCCGGAUUUAUUGGGCGUAAAGGGCUCGUAGGUGGUUGAUCGCGUCGGAAGUGUAAUCUUGGGGCUUAACCCUGAGCGUGCUUUCGAUACGGGUUGACUUGAGGAAGGUAGGGGAGAAUGGAAUUCCUGGUGGAGCGGUGGAAUGCGCAGAUAUCAGGAGGAACACCAGUGGCGAAGGCGGUUCUCUGGGCCUUUCCUGACGCUGAGGAGCGAAAGCGUGGGGAGCGAACAGGCUUAGAUACCCUGGUAGUCCACGCUGUAAACGGUGGGUACUAGGUGUGGGGUCCAUUCCACGGGUUCCGUGCCGUAGCUAACGCUUUAAGUACCCCGCCUGGGGAGUACGGCCGCAAGGCUAAAACUCAAAGGAAUUGACGGGGCCCCGCACAAGCGGCGGAGCAUGCGGAUUAAUUCGAUGCAACGCGUAGAACCUUACCUGGGUUUGACAUGGAUCGGGAGUGCUCAGAGAUGGGUGUGCCUCUUUUGGGGUCGGUUCACAGGUGGUGCAUGGCUGUCGUCAGCUCGUGUCGUGAGAUGUUGGGUUAAGUCCCGCAACGAGCGCAACCCUUGUUCACUGUUGCCAGCACGUUAUGGUGGGGACUCAGUGGAGACCGCCGGGGUCAACUCGGAGGAAGGUGGGGAUGACGUCAAGUCAUCAUGCCCCUUAUGUCCAGGGCUUCACGCAUGCUACAAUGGCUGGUACAGAGAGUGGCGAGCCUGUGAGGGUGAGCGAAUCUCGGAAAGCCGGUCUCAGUUCGGAUUGGGGUCUGCAACUCGACCUCAUGAAGUCGGAGUUGCUAGUAAUCGCAGAUCAGCAACGCUGCGGUGAAUACGUUCCCGGG